Ostrinia nubilalis (European corn borer) is the source of this 938-nucleotide long non-coding RNA. RefSeq lists it as uncharacterized. NCBI's taxonomy places the organism in Eukaryota, Metazoa, Arthropoda, Insecta, Lepidoptera, Crambidae. The record is from RefSeq and is a predicted model, not a curated record. The transcript has 3 exons.
AAGUGUUUGGAUUGCAGUGACUGGACGGCAAAAUUGGCAGCCCACUCAGCACACUCGCAUGUGUUCUGUCCAUUUUCAAGCUGGUUGCUUUCAGAAAAAGCAGCAGAAAAUGUAUUUGGCAAAUUAUUCAAUACCAACAUUAGCCGUUCAUGAUGUACCAGUUCAUUGUGACAAAGCUUCAUCUAGCGAAACUACCGAAGUUUUACCCAUGGAAUGCGAUAUUCAAGCAUCAAAUAAUCUAGCAGACACGAUGACACCAAGAAAGUUAAAGCUGACAAUGAAUUUACAAAGAAGAACGUUAAUAGCUGAAAACCGCAAGAAAAAAAUAGCCGCAUUGAGAUCAAAGACUCGAAGACUUGUAAAAAAAAUGCAGAAUUGACUGAUAUUAUAGAAAAUUUAAAAACAAAGCGAUUCAUCAACCAGGAAGCAGCGGAUUUACUUUCUGUGCUUAAUAAUGGCUCGGACUUCAUUAAGCCAAACAAAAGUAAAUUUUCACCCGAAGUGCGAAAAUUUGCUUUAAAUCUUCAUUUCAUCAGUCCACGCGCCUAUAAUCAUGUGCGCCAGCAUUUUAAAACUUGCCUGCCCCAUACACGUACAUUAGUACGUUGGUAUUCAACUGUAGAUGGUGAACCAGGAUUUUCAUCUGAAGCUCUUCAAGCUAUAGAAAAAAUUGCAAAAAAUAAUAUUUCGAAAAAACUGUUAUGCAGUUUGUGCUUUGAUGAAAUGUCAAUAAGAAAAUGUGUAGAGUGGCUGGUAGGGCAAAAAAAAAUGAGACAUGUAUAGGCUCCUUAGAGCAUUAAUUGACAAUUUGUAAGUACUAAUUUAAUUAGUGUAUGUAUACAAAUAAAGAUAAUUUUGAUUUAAUUUAUCCUCUAAACAGAACAUUCUGCCAAUAAUAAUAUUUGAAUCUGCGUGUAAUAAAUAUUUUUAUUUUUAAA